UACGAAGGGGGCUAGCGUUGUUCGGAAUUACUGGGCGUAAAGGGCGCGUAGGCGGCUCUGAUCGUCGGAUGUGAAAGGCCUGGGCUCAACCUGGGAAUGGCAUCCGAUACGGCGGGGCUGGAGUGUGGGAGAGGUUGGUGGAAUUCCCAGUGUAGAGGUGAAAUUCGUAGAUAUCGGGAGGAACACCAGUGGCGAAGGCGGAGACCUGGGCCGAUACUGACGCUGAGGUGCGAAAGCGUGGGGAGCAAACAGG
Molecule: ribosomal RNA, 253 nt
Filed under: uncultured bacterium
Lineage: Bacteria
Description: partial 16S ribosomal RNA
Rfam family: Bacterial small subunit ribosomal RNA
Source: RNAcentral